UAAAGAUUUUGAUGCAUUUGU
This 21-nucleotide non-coding RNA is filed under the name Arabidopsis thaliana (thale cress). The record is from RNAcentral. Lineage: Eukaryota; Viridiplantae; Streptophyta; Magnoliopsida; Brassicales; Brassicaceae.